RNAcentral lists this ribosomal RNA (1369 nucleotides) under uncultured bacterium. Its description in RNAcentral is "bacterial SSU rRNA". It matches the Rfam family "Bacterial small subunit ribosomal RNA", at positions 28 to 1381 of the family's 1533-position model. The record is from RNAcentral.
GACGAACGCUGGCGGCGUGCCUAAUACAUGCAAGUAGAACGCUGAAGAGAGGAGCUUGCUCUUCUUGGAUGAGUUGCGAACGGGUGAGUAACGCGUAGGUAACCUGCCUUGUAGCGGGGGAUAACUAUUGGAAACGAUAGCUAAUACCGCAUAACAAUGGAUGACACAUGUCAUUUAUUUGGAAGGGGCAAUUGCUCCACUACAAGAUGGACCUGCGUUGUAUUAGCUAGUAGGUGAGGUAACGGCUCACCUAGGCGACGAUACAUAGCCGACCUGAGAGGGUGAUCGGCCACACUGGGACUGAGACACGGCCCAGACUCCUACGGGAGGCAGCAGUAGGGAAUCUUCGGCAAUGGGGGCAACCCUGACCGAGCAACGCCGCGUGAGUGAAGAAGGUUUUCGGAUCGUAAAGCUCUGUUGUAAGUCAAGAACGAGUGUGAGAGUGGAAAGUUCACACUGUGACGGUAGCUUACCAGAAAGGGACGGCUAACUACGUGCCAGCAGCCGCGGUAAUACGUAGGUCCCGAGCGUUGUCCGGAUUUAUUGGGCGUAAAGCGAGCGCAGGCGGUUUGAUAAGUCUGAAGUUAAAGGCUGUGGCUCAACCAUAGUUCGCUUUGGAAACUGUCAAACUUGAGUGCAGAAGGGGAGAGUGGAAUUCCAUGUGUAGCGGUGAAAUGCGUAGAUAUAUGGAGGAACACCGGUGGCGAAAGCGGCUCUCUGGUCUGUAACUGACGCUGAGGCUCGAAAGCGUGGGGAGCGAACAGGAUUAGAUACCCUGGUAGUCCACGCCGUAAACGAUGAGUGCUAGGUGUUGGAUCCUUUCCGGGAUUCAGUGCCGCAGCUAACGCAUUAAGCACUCCGCCUGGGGAGUACGACCGCAAGGUUGAAACUCAAAGGAAUUGACGGGGGCCCGCACAAGCGGUGGAGCAUGUGGUUUAAUUCGAAGCAACGCGAAGAACCUUACCAGGUCUUGACAUCCCGAUGCUAUUUCUAGAGAUAGAAAGUUACUUCGGUACAUCGGUGACAGGUGGUGCAUGGUUGUCGUCAGCUCGUGUCGUGAGAUGUUGGGUUAAGUCCCGCAACGAGCGCAACCCCUAUUGUUAGUUGCCAUCAUUCAGUUGGGCACUCUAGCGAGACUGCCGGUAAUAAACCGGAGGAAGGUGGGGAUGACGUCAAAUCAUCAUGCCCCUUAUGACCUGGGCUACACACGUGCUACAAUGGUUGGUACAACGAGUUGCGAGUCGGUGACGGCAAGCUAAUCUCUUAAAGCCAAUCUCAGUUCGGAUUGUAGGCUGCAACUCGCCUACAUGAAGUCGGAAUCGCUAGUAAUCGCGGAUCAGCACGCCGCGGUGAAUACGUUCCCGGGCCU